AACGAACGCUGGCGGCAUGCCUAACACAUGCAAGUCGAACGAGACCUUCGGGUCUAGUGGCGCACGGGUGCGUAACGCGUGGGAACCUGCCCUUAGGUUCGGAAUAACUCCCCGAAAGGGGUGCUAAUACCGGAUAAUGUCUUCGGACCAAAGAUUCAUCGCCUUUGGAUGGGCCCGCGUUGGAUUAGCUAGUUGGUAGGGUAAAAGCCUACCAAGGCGACGAUCCAUAGCUGGUCUGAGAGGAUGAUCAGCCACACUGGGACUGAGACACGGCCCAGACUCCUGCGGGAGGCAGCAGUGGGGAAUAUUGGACAAUGGGCGAAAGCAUGAUCCAGCAAUGCCGCGUGAGUGAUGAAGGCCUUAGGGUUGUAAAGCUCUUUUACCCGGGAUGAUAAUGACAGUACCGGGAGAAUAAGCGCCGGCUAACUCCGUG
RNAcentral lists this ribosomal RNA (433 nucleotides) under uncultured bacterium. Its description in RNAcentral is "partial 16S ribosomal RNA". It matches the Rfam family "Bacterial small subunit ribosomal RNA", at positions 29 to 507 of the family's 1533-position model. The record is from RNAcentral.